This 237-nucleotide unclassified non-coding RNA is filed under the name Hevea brasiliensis (rubber tree). The record is from RNAcentral. Lineage: Eukaryota; Viridiplantae; Streptophyta; Magnoliopsida; Malpighiales; Euphorbiaceae.
UCUCUCUCGCUCUCUCUCUCUCUCUCUCUGCUGGUUCAUCAUUUCGCUUUAAAGUGAAGGUAGAAAAUGGCGGUUCAGGGAACAGUGUUUACACCGUCAUUGGAAGGAAUGAAACAUGUGAAAUCUGAGCAAGGAGAAAUGCUCACCAAGCCUUUCUUGGAUGUCUGCAAAUUGAUUUUGCCUGUUAUCGAUAAGUUUGGAGCUGCUAUGGCCCUUGUAAAAUCUGAUAUCGGCGGC